GAUGAACGCUGGCGGCGUGCCUAAUACAUGCAAGUCGAGCCAACAGACGAGAAGCUUGCUCCUCUGACGUUAGCGGCGGACGGGUGAGUAACACGUGGAUAACCUACCUAUAAGACUGGGAUAACUUCGGGAAACCGGAGCUAAUACCGGAUAAUAUAUUGAACCGCAUGGUGCAAUAGUGAAAGACGGUUUUGCUGUCACUUAUAGAUGGAUCCGCGCCGCAUUGGCUAGUUGGUAAGGUAACGGCUUACCAAGGCAACGAUGCGUAGCCGACCUGAGAGGGUGAUCGCCCACCCUGGAGCUGAGACACGGUCACGACUACUACGGGAGGCAGCAGUAGGGAAUCUUCCGCAAUGGUCGAAAGUAUUACGGAGCGACGCCGCGUGAGUUGUGAAGGUCUUCGGAUCGUAAUAAUCGGUUAUUAGGUAAGAACCAAUGUGUGAGUAACUAUGCCCGACUUGACGGUACCUAAUCAGAAAGCCACGGCUAACUACGUG
RNAcentral lists this ribosomal RNA (497 nucleotides) under uncultured bacterium. RNAcentral's name for it is "partial 16S ribosomal RNA". It matches the Rfam family "Bacterial small subunit ribosomal RNA", at positions 28 to 507 of the family's 1533-position model. The record is from RNAcentral.